Molecule: ribosomal RNA, 218 nt
Filed under: uncultured bacterium
Lineage: Bacteria
Description: partial 16S ribosomal RNA
Rfam family: Bacterial small subunit ribosomal RNA
Source: RNAcentral
CGACGGUAACCAACCCCAUGGUUGGGCAUAGCCGAGGGAAACUUCGGGUAAUUCCCAGCGACGUCAUGAUGCGGCAUCGCAUCGUGACCAAAGAUUCAUCGCCAUGGGACGGGCCGUUGUGGUAUUAGCUAGUUGGUGGGGUGACGGCCCACCAAGGCUUUGAUGCCUACCGGGUGUGCGAGCAUGGCCCGGCACACUGGGACUGAGACACUGCCCAG